This 986-nucleotide unclassified non-coding RNA is filed under the name Hevea brasiliensis (rubber tree). Lineage: Eukaryota; Viridiplantae; Streptophyta; Magnoliopsida; Malpighiales; Euphorbiaceae. The record is from RNAcentral.
GAUCCACGUCUACUCUUCCAUUGUUCUUGUCAAGUUAUAAAAGCUAUGAGAGAGAGCAAGAUCUUCAAAUAUGACUAUAGCUUCUUCUACUUCUUCUUGUUUACUCUUAUGAUCUUGAAGAUAUUGUUCUUCAAGUGUGCUUCAUCUCAAGUAGUUUAUACAGUCGGUGAAGAUGAAGGAUGGAAUUCUGAAGCAAACUUCGAUUCCUGGUCACAGAAAUAUAACUUCAGCGUCGGUGAUGUUCUUGGUAUGCAAUCCUUGAUCUCUUUUAUUCCUUCUUCAAUAACUCUAAUUUCUAUUAUAAGCUGAUCCAUAUAAUUAGUAAAGGGUUGUUAAUUAGAAAAUCUAAAAAAUAAUAAUAACCCUUAUUUUUGUUCUUUCUGGGUAUUGAUUUUUGGUAAAAUUUAAACUGAAAUGAAUAAUAAAUAAUUGUGGGUGUAGUUUUCAAGUAUGUGAAGGGGCAACAUAAUGUGUACGAAGUAACAGAGGACACAUUUCGAUCAUGCGAUGCAAGCAAUGGAGUAAUAGCAAAGUAUGAGAGUGGAAACGAUGAGAUAAAGCUGAACAAAGAAAAGAAGUAUUGGUUCAUAUGCAAUGUGGUUGGGCAUUGCCUUGGAGGAAUGAGGCUUAAUAUUGAUGUGGGGAAAGGAAAACAAGCCAAUUCCUCUUCAAAUGGUGAAACAAUCCCACAAUUGGAGCCAACGCCACCACCCACUUCUUCAUCUUCAUCUUCAUCUUCAAGUUUUUCCGUGGGGAUUUGGAUUUGCUUUCUUGCUCUCAGAAUUUUGUUCAAAUUCUUUCCCUGAAGGAAAAUUUAAUUUUCUUGUAUUGGUUUUUUAGAUUAAAUUUCGUUUUUAAUGUAAUUACUUCAGCCCAAUAAAGAGAAGGGACCAUCAAGAACUUGACUGGAGGUUUUGUCUUUUAUGUUACGAAGCAAAGAGUCACCACCAGACUGUUUAAAUAAUACUUUUGCUUUAUGAAAUGGA